RNAcentral lists this ribosomal RNA (441 nucleotides) under uncultured bacterium. RNAcentral describes it as "partial 16S ribosomal RNA". It matches the Rfam family "Bacterial small subunit ribosomal RNA", at positions 338 to 795 of the family's 1533-position model. The record is from RNAcentral.
CCUACGGGAGACAGCAGUGGGGAAUAUUGCACAAUGGGGGAAACCCUGAUGCAGCAACGCCGCGUGAGUGAAGAAGUAUUUCGGUAUGUAAAGCUCUAUCAGCAGGGAAGAAGAAAGAAGGUACCUGAAUAUGAAGACUCGGCUAACUACGUGCCAGCAGCCGCGGUAAAACGUAGGGGGAAAGCGUUAGCCGGAUUUACUGGGUGUAAAGGGAGCGUAGUCGGCUGGGCCAGUGUGAAGUGAAAGCCCGUGGCUCAACCGCGGAACUGCUUUGGAAACUGUAUAGCUUGAGUACUGGAGAGGCAGGUGGAAUUCCUAGUGUAGCGGUGAAAUGCGUAGAUAUUAGGAGGAACACCAGUGGCGAAGGCGGCCUGCUGGACAGAAACUGACGUUGAGGCUCGAAAGCGUGGGGAGCAAACAGGAUUAGAUACCCGAGUAGUC